GACGAACGCUGGCGGCGUGCCUAAUACAUGCAAGUAGAACGCUGAAGGAGGAGCUUGCUUCUCUGGAUGAGUUGCGAACGGGUGAGUAACGCGUAGGUAACCUGCCUGGUAGCGGGGGAUAACUAUUGGAAACGAUAGCUAAUACCGCAUAACAGUAGAUAUCGCAUGAUAUCUACUUGAAAGGUGCAAUUGCAUCACUACCAGAUGGACCUGCGUUGUAUUAGCUAGUUGGUGAGGUAACGGCUCACCAAGGCGACGAUACAUAGCCGACCUGAGAGGGUGAUCGGCCACACUGGGACUGAGACACGGCCCAGACUCCUACGGGAGGCAGCAGUAGGGAAUCUUCGGCAAUGGACGGAAGUCUGAACGAGCAACGCCGCGUGAGUGAAGAAGGUUUUCGGAUCGUAAAGCUCUGUUGUAAGAGAAGAACGAGUGUGAGAGUGGAAAGUUCACUCUGUGACGGUAUCUUAACAGAAAGGGACGGCUAACUACGUG
This 495-nucleotide ribosomal RNA is filed under the name uncultured bacterium. RNAcentral describes it as "partial 16S ribosomal RNA". It matches the Rfam family "Bacterial small subunit ribosomal RNA", at positions 28 to 507 of the family's 1533-position model. The record is from RNAcentral.